AGCACAUGAGCUCCAAUAGUAUUCCCUAUAUCCAUUCCCUAUUAUUAUAAUAAUAUUAAAUAGUUGAGGAGAGAGGGAAAAAAGAGAAGGAAAUGAUGUGGAGGAGAGAGGGAAAUGAAUAUUUUAAUGUUAAAAAUAGUUUAGAAGUGGCUAGCAUAUUCUAAAAAUAGGGAAGGAGAUGCUUGUGCUAGUGAUUUAGCACAUCACUAGCAUAGUGUUGGAGUGCAAUUUUAUCCCAUAUUCCCUAUUUUUGGAUUUAAGACUUGAUUUAGCACACCUAUUGGACUUGCUCU
RNAcentral lists this long non-coding RNA (293 nucleotides) under Daucus carota (carrot). RNAcentral's name for it is "long non-coding RNA (DCAR_LNC000066)". Lineage: Eukaryota; Viridiplantae; Streptophyta; Magnoliopsida; Apiales; Apiaceae. The record is from RNAcentral.